AUAUGUCUAUGUAUAUAUUAUUGUAUUUAGCAACGUUCGUUCACAAAUGUUUAUUUAUGUUUUACGCAAAUAUUGUAGUAUUUGACUUUUGCGAUAUUCUUCGUCGUUAUUUAACGUAAACUAACGUUUCCGCGUUCGCUUUUGCAAAUAAAAAUAAAUAAAUAUCUCUCGGCAAUUGACUGCGCAAUCAAUAAUAACAAUUGUUUAUAUCGAUGUAAAAUAAAUCGUUUACUUUGAGUUUAAAUUUGAAUUUGAAAUUGAAAUUGAAAUCGAAAUCGAAUUUGAAUUGCAACACGCGCACAAUUUACGUAUGUAUGUAUGCAGGUAUUAGCAUCCAGCAAGAGUUUCGAUUUCCCAACAAUCAUCCAAGUUCAGUGGCACUCGACGCGCUCGCAGAGACCCCGCGAGUUGAUCUUUCUGGUUCUGGUUUCUGUUGUCGACUGAGCGCAGCUCG
Drosophila arizonae is the source of this 454-nucleotide long non-coding RNA. The record is from RefSeq and is a predicted model, not a curated record. Lineage: Eukaryota; Metazoa; Arthropoda; Insecta; Diptera; Drosophilidae.